RNAcentral lists this ribosomal RNA (433 nucleotides) under uncultured bacterium. RNAcentral describes it as "partial 16S ribosomal RNA". It matches the Rfam family "Bacterial small subunit ribosomal RNA", at positions 29 to 507 of the family's 1533-position model. The record is from RNAcentral.
AACGAACGCUGGCGGCAUGCCUAACACAUGCAAGUCGAACGAGACCUUCGGGUCUAGUGGCGCACGGGUGCGUAACGCGUGGGAACCUGCCCUUAGGUUCGGAAUAACUCCCCGAAAGGGGUGCUAAUACCGGAUAAUGUCUUCGGACCAAAGAUUUAUCGCCUUUGGAUGGGCCCGCGUUGGAUUAGCUAGUUGGUAGGGUAAAAGCCUACCAAGGCGACGAUCCAUAGCUGGUCUGAGAGGAUGAUCAGCCACACUGGGACUGAGACACGGCCCAGACUCCUACGAGAGGCAGCAGUGGGGAAUAUUGGACAAUGGGCGAAAGCCUGAUCCAGCAAUGCCGCGUGAGUGAUGAAGGCCUUAGGGUUGUAAAGCUCUUGUACCCGGGAUGAUAAUGACAGUACCGGGAGAAUAAGCUCCGGCUAACUCCGUG